AGUGAACGCUGGCGGUAGGCCUAACACAUGCAAGUCGAACGGCAGCACAGUAAGAGCUUGCUCUUACGGGUGGCGAGUGGCGGACGGGUGAGGAAUACAUCGGAAUCUACUUUUUCGUGGGGGAUAACGUAGGGAAACUUACGCUAAUACCGCAUACGACCUACGGGUGAAAGCAGGGGAUCUUCUGACCUUGCGCGAUUGAAUGAGCCGAUGUCGGAUUAGCUAGUUGGCGGGGUAAAGGCCCACCAAGGCGACGAUCCGUAGCUGGUCUGAGAGGAUGAUCAGCCACACUGGAACUGAGACACGGCCCAGACUCCUACGAGAGGCAGCAGUGGGGAAUAUUGGACAAUGGGCGCAAGCCUGAUCCAGCCAUACCGCGUGGGUGAAGAAGGCCUUCGGGUUGUAAAGCCCUUUUGUUGGGAAAGAAAAGCAGCAGGUUAAUACCCCGCUGUUCUGACGGUACCCAAAGAAUAAGCACCGGCUAACUUCGUG
This 492-nucleotide ribosomal RNA is filed under the name uncultured bacterium. Its description in RNAcentral is "partial 16S ribosomal RNA". It matches the Rfam family "Bacterial small subunit ribosomal RNA", at positions 29 to 507 of the family's 1533-position model. The record is from RNAcentral.